RNAcentral lists this ribosomal RNA (402 nucleotides) under Polaruschakov sp. 636-4-3 PB. RNAcentral describes it as "partial 16S ribosomal RNA". It matches the Rfam family "Bacterial large subunit ribosomal RNA", at positions 1959 to 2597 of the family's 2925-position model. The record is from RNAcentral. Lineage: Eukaryota; Metazoa; Annelida; Polychaeta; Phyllodocida; Polynoidae.
GCAUAAUCAUUUGCCCUUUAAUUUGGGGCUAGCAUGAACGGAUAAACGAAAUUCUUCCUUUAUUAAUUAUAUAUUUUAUAACCUAAACUUCAGGUGAAGAUGCCUGAAUCUUAAUGAAAGACAAGAAGACCCUAUAGAGUUUUAGUAAAGACCUUAACCUAUUCUCCUCUCUACUUUAAUUGGGGCGAUUAAGGAUUCCAAAUCACAUCCAAAUUUUAAAAGGUAAUAUUCCUCAUUAACCAUCCUAUUUUUUAGAAAUUAAAACCAACUACCUUAGGGAUAACAGGCUUAUCUUCCUAAAGAGUUCAAAUUAACAGGAAGGUUUGGCACCUCGAUGUUGGCUUAGAGUCACCUAAUAAAGCAAAAAUUAUUAAGGUUAGUUUGUUCAACUAUUAAACCUCU